This 433-nucleotide ribosomal RNA is filed under the name uncultured bacterium. RNAcentral's name for it is "partial 16S ribosomal RNA". It matches the Rfam family "Bacterial small subunit ribosomal RNA", at positions 29 to 507 of the family's 1533-position model. The record is from RNAcentral.
AGCGAACGCUGGCGGCAGGCCUAACACAUGCAAGUCGAACGAACUCUUCGUAGUUAGUGGCGGACGGGUGAGUAACGCGUGGGAACGUGGCUGUUGGUACGGAAUAACUCAUGGAAACUUGUGUUAAUGCCGAGUGUGUCCUUCUGGGGAAAGAUAUAUCGCCCUUAUUGCCGCCCGAGUCUGUUUAGCUGGUUGGUGAGGUAAGGGCGCACCAAGGCGACGAUCAGUAGCUGGUCUGAGAGGAUGGCCCGCCACACUGGGACUGAGACACGGCCCAGACUACUACGGGAGGCAGGAGUGGGGAAUCCAGCGCAAUCGGCGAAAGGAUGACGCCGCCAUGCCGCGUGAAUGCUGAAGGUCUUAGGAUUGUGCAAUUCUUUCACCGGCGACGAUACUGACGGUACCCGGAGAAGAAGCCCCGGCUAACUUCGUG